This 287-nucleotide small RNA is filed under the name Pleurocapsa sp. PCC 7327. RNAcentral's name for it is "5' ureB small RNA". It matches the Rfam family "5' ureB small RNA". The record is from Rfam by way of RNAcentral. Lineage: Bacteria; Bacillati; Cyanobacteriota; Cyanophyceae; Pleurocapsales; Pleurocapsaceae.
CAACUUCGAUUUGUUGGGGACAGAUGAAGUGAAUGUGAGCGUCAAUGCCUCCCGCCGUGAGAAUCAUGCCUUCUCCGGCAACGGCUUCGGUAGCGGGUCCGAUAAUAAUAUUAACGUUAUCCUGAAUAUAGGGAUUGCCUGCUUUCCCUAUCUUGUAAAUUUUACCGUCUUUGAUCCCGACAUCGGCUUUAACAAUUCCCCACCAGUCGAGAAUGAGAGCAUUCGUAAUCACCAUAUCGACUGCGCCAUCGUCGCGGGAAAUCGGAGAUUGUCCCAUGCCAUCGCGG